UUAUGUUAUAAUUAAUAGAAGAUAGCUGGAUUAAUAUCUGCCUCUGCAUUUAAUCUGUUGUGAUAUACCAUUUUGGUUGAAGUAUAUGAAGAAACUCUGACCUCAAACAAGUAUGUGGUAGGACAAAGGAGGAGUUUUUAAGAGCUUUUUCAGAUAAUUGUGAAUAUUCUUUGAUACUGCAUCAAAAUGUGAGAAGUGGUAAGUUUCUUAGAUGUUAGUUGCAAUGUGGAAUAUGAAAUAAUAUCAACGAGCUUUCCCUGUUCUAUUACAUUAAAAUCUAUUGGUCUAUCUUGCAUUUUGAAUGGACUUUUACCUAUGCAUAGUUUUAUAACAACGUGCAUUCAUUGGUUAUUUGGAAAAUAUUUGUUCACAGAGUUUUGCAUAUCUUCUAAAAGUUGACACAUUCAUUAUAUAGUUUCAAGAAAUCACAUUUAAAAAAAUUACUACUAAUUUUAUCAGGGAAGUCUGGAAGUGCUAGUAAAUUGUCAAGCUCACAGUCAUGGAUAGUUUUUCUUACUUUCAUCCCUAGGUUGCUUAGAGAUUUUCACUUGAAUAAGGGCUUUCUUGGCCCCCGGUCACUAAUACUGGUUCUCUGCAAUGCACAAGGGUGUGGAGAAAGCUGAACUUUGUGCCAUAUGGAUCCUUUAAAAGAGACAGAUGCGUGAAGUUUGGAGCAGUGAAUGUAAGAGCAAUAUUUGUUUUUCAUUUAAUGAUUUCUAUUUUUUAUUGUAGAGACAGUAGAGCUUGAUAUAGUUUUGGCAAAAUGAAUUUAAGGAAAAGAUUAUAUAUUUGAUAUAUCAUUUCCUAUUUCUGUAAUUAAACUAGGGAGAUUUACCUCAGGGGUUUCCAAUUAUAAAAAGUGGGAAAAUUAUCUUUGAUUUCCUGUGGGGAAGCAAUACAUUGGAAAUUAUUUGGUUGACACAAUUACGAUAUUGUUGGUCAGAGGCCAGAAAAAUUAUCGAUUUUUCUUCCAGGUUUCUUUCUCAGGAAUAAAAUAGUUUUCAAAUACUUAAGAUUUUACAUUCAAAUCAUUCACAGGAAGGUUUACUAUUUGAGCUGAUAAAAGGAGGUUACGAUUUGAAUUACACUGAACUGCCAGAAAACUGUGUCUUCUAGCCUUCUACAAAGUGAAGAUGUGACCUAACAUACUUUACAUGUAAUCUGAUAAAAUGUACCAUCUAUUUUAUAUUCUGUUUCAAAUCUAACAUGAACAUUUCUGCAUUUGUUGUGAAACCAACAUUUAACAUAAAGAGGUCAUAAGGUUUGUUGUUCUAGAUAAGGACAUAUAGUGUGUAAUCCUUUCCAGGGGCACAUUGUAUUAUUAUAUUCCAUAUUAAAAUAGGAGUCACGGUAUUGAUCCACAGGCAUCUUCAUUAAAAAUGGAAAUCUCCCUACACCUGGAAUGUGUUUAAUGAAUAUAGCAUAUUUCAUCUAUAUAAACUAUUAAGUGAGAUUGUUCUGGUACUCAUAUAUUGAUUCAUACUACAAAUAUUUUUGAGCAUUCAAACCAGAAAUGGACCUUGUAAGGAAACCAAAGAUGCACAGCACAGUAAAGACCCCUCUCCACAAAGAGCUUAACAUCUAAUGAAGAACCAAAAUAUACAAACAUUAAAUCUUAGAUCUCAGUCCAGGCAUUGAAUGGCAUUGGAAAAGAGCAGUGCUGUAGGUGUCAGAAGAUUGUCUCUACCAGUAAAUGCUGAGUAAGUGCUGUGAUCUUAAGUAAAGAGAGAUCCCUGUGUUUUGGAAGCUGUGUUUUAUAAUGGUUAAGAACACAGGUUUUAGAAUCAGCCAGAUCUGGAUUCCAGUCCCAGCUCAUCCUCGGUAGCUGUGUGAUCUUGGGCAAGUCCCUUAACUUCUCUAGGCCCCUGUUUCUUUCUUCUGUAAACGUGUAGAUAAUAAAAUCACCUAGCCUAUGGGUUUGUUGUGAUGAAUAGAUGAGAUCAAAAAUGCAUGGAAAAGCUCUUAGCAUAAUCUAUCUAGCACUCAUAUGUUCUCACUAAAUAUCUCCAAUUGUUAGUAUUUGUUAUUAUAAUCAGAAGAUUUCCCAAAGAAAACAAGAACUAAGGUGGACCUGCCUCAUGUUUGAGCUGAGGGCAAGCCCUAUCUCGUUAGUUGCUGAUACUCAGGAUAAGAGAAGACCAGUGAUGCCUCAGUUGGAGACCUACUCAAUAACUUUGAGU
Molecule: long non-coding RNA, 2180 nt
Organism: Macaca mulatta (Rhesus monkey)
Lineage: Eukaryota; Metazoa; Chordata; Mammalia; Primates; Cercopithecidae
Source: Ensembl